Molecule: transfer RNA, 67 nt
Filed under: Marmota monax (woodchuck)
Lineage: Eukaryota; Metazoa; Chordata; Mammalia; Rodentia; Sciuridae
Description: tRNA.Ala
Source: RNAcentral
GGCUUGAGCUCAGUGGUAGAGUGCUCGCCUCGCACAUGGGAGGCACUGGGUUCCAUCCUCAGUGCCA